Molecule: ribosomal RNA, 253 nt
Filed under: uncultured bacterium
Lineage: Bacteria
Description: partial 16S ribosomal RNA
Rfam family: Bacterial small subunit ribosomal RNA
Source: RNAcentral
UACGUAGGGACCAAGCGUUGUUCGGAUUUACUGGGCGUAAAGGGCGCGUAGGCGGCGUGGUAAGUCACUUGUGAAAUCUCCGGGCUUAACUCGGAACGGUCAAGUGAUACUGUCGUGCUAGAGUACAGAAGGGGCAACUGGAAUUCUCGGUGUAGCGGUGAAAUGCGUAGAUAUCGAGAGGAACACCAGUGGCGAAGGCGACUACCUGGCCUGUUCUUGACGCUGAGGCGCGAAAGCUAGGGGAGCAAACGGG